GGACAGGUAGUUUGAUGAAUAAUGCCAUGUUGGUUGAAGAAAGAAAUACCAGCAAUACUAGACCCCAAUUCCAAAGCAUUAUCACUUCUGAUAGUUUGUACAGUAGCAUUAAAUUGAGUCGUAACCAUACACAAAAAGGACUUAAGAAGGCCGAAAGCAUUGCUUUUAGACCCCAGUAAAUGUGCCGAGGUUGCUCUAGAAAAAUCAUCAACUAUAGUAAGAAAGUACCUUGAGCCAGAAGAGGUGGGUGNNNNNNNNNNNNNNNNNNNNNNNNNNNNNNNNNNNNNNNNNNNNNNNNNNNNNNNNNNNNNNNNNNNNAGCCAGAAGAGGUGGGUGUGUGAUAAGGGCCCCAAGUGUCUACAUGAAUCAGUUGGAAAGGUCUACAGGUACUGAUUGAACUGUCAGGAAAAGAAAGUCUAGUUUGCCUAGUCAUGGGACAAAUAGAACAAGGAAAUGGUUGUUUGGAAGCAAAAGUAAAAGACAAAGCAGAAAUGUGUUUCAUGCUUGCAAAUGGAAUAUGAGCCAGUCUUAAAUGCCAAAUGUAAUUCAUGUCAUUUGCAUCAGUUUUAUUAUUACAAAUGGAACUAUUUACAUUGGAAUUCAAAACAACAGAUUUAAGGUUAGAAGAACAAACAGGAGUACAAGAAUCAGAAAUGGAGCAUACAGAAGUAGAGGAACAACAAUUAACAGAAGAAGGUGAAGAGGGCACCCAAGUAAAUUUGUACAGGCCAGCCUCCUAUUUACCAAGAUCCAGAGGCAUCUUCAAAGAAGGGGCCUGUAACAUGUGAAGGAAACAGGAAGUUGCAGUAAACAUGUCAAUACAGUGCAACUGCUUUACUAGUUUAUGGACAUAAAUUAAAUUGUGUUUGAAAGAGGCAACAAACAGUACAUUAUGAAGAGUGAUGGAGGGAGUUAAAGCAAAAGAUCCUGUGGAAGUCACUUUUACUUUAUAUCCAUUAGGAAGGGUUACAAGAUAAGGCACAAGUAAAGGUGUGAUAUUAAAGAGUAAGUUCUUAUUAGAUGUCAUAUGAUCAGAAGUCCCUAAAUCUAUUAUCCAAGAGACAGAAGUAAUAUUAGUAAGUAGACAGAGUUUGGAAUCAGAAACAGGGCUCUCAGUAGUACCAGCAAAGUUGGAAGCACACAUAGGAGGAGAGGUCUGAGCAGGAGAAAUCUGAGCAGUGGAGUCACCCAAUUUGGACUGUUGCAGCAGAUUCAUCAAUUGGUCAUAAUGUUGCCUGCUCAAUCCAGGGAUUACAGAACCAUGUCCAUCCACAUGUGGGACAGAUGAAUGACACUCAAUGUGAUUUCCAGAAGCAUGAGAAGUGUGGCCAUCAGAAGAAGGGAAGGAGGUGAAAUCAAUACCAGUGGUUACAUGGGCAGCAGUAGGUCUCUUCCCUUUGUUAAACCUGAUGCUUUGAGGAAAUCCAUGAAGUUUGUAACACUUUACUAGUGGUUACAUGGGCAGCAGUAGUUCUCUUCCCUUUGUUAAACUUGAUGCUUUGAGGAAAUCCAUGAAGUUUGUAACACUUAUCAAUUAAGUGCCCAGACUUCUUGCAAUAUCUACAGAAGAUAGGUCCUCUGGAUUGAUCAAUAGUAACUCUCUGGGCAUACUGUCUGAGAGGAGAAGAGUUGGGCAAUGCAACUUGACUGAAAGAAGGUGUAGAAGUUUUGUGUGUGUUGACACUGAAGGACAUAGAGUCAGGAUUGAAAUGAGAAAUAGACUGAACUUGUCUUUGUUUUUCAUCAUUGAGAAGAAUGUUAUAGACACUGUCAAGACUAGGAGGAGGCUGCAUCAUCAGCAAGUUGCUCCUUACCCCCAUAUGUCUCAUUAAGGCCCAUGAGGAAUUGAAACACCUUAUUCUCCUCAUCCUCCUUUAUGAUGCCAGGUUUGGCAGCACAAAUACAUCUUUGACCAUGAUUUGUGCAUACUACCCCUAACUCAUCCCAUAACCCUUUGAGUUUGUUAAAAUAGGAUGCUAUAUCUAGAGAUCCUUGGCAUCUUUGGCCAUGAUUUGUACAUACUGCUCCUCGCUCAUCCCAUAACCCUUUAAGUUUGUUAAAAUAGGAUGCUAUAUCUAGAGGUCCUUGAGAGGAAUGAGAGAGUUCUCUUUUAAGUUCGAAAAUUUUGGUCCUAUUGGUUGUGCCAUAUCUGGCUUCGAGUUGUGCCCAUAUACUAUGUGCCGUCUCAGAAUAUUGCACACUCUCAGCUAUUUGAGGAGAUAGAGAUGCAGUCAACCAGGAAAUUACCAUAUUAUUGCAUCUGUCCCAUAAUUUCUGUUCAGCCAAGUUAGUAUUUGGUCUAGGACAGGUACCAUCAACAAAACCAAUUUUGUUCUUAGCGGACAAGGCAACUAUCAUCUUACUCUUCCAACCCUCAUAACCACUACCCGAAAAAGGAAUAGGAACAAGGGAAACACCAGGAACAUCAGAAGAGUAAACAAAGAGAUGGCUUGUAGGGUCAAUAGAUGAGGGAUUAAUAGGGUUCAUAUUUGUCAUCAGAAACAGGACAACAAUGAUGAGAAGAAAUUGAUUCAAUACUUGUGAACUACACGAUACAACAUAUUUUCCAGCAAAAAAAACACAUGCAAGCUCUAAUCGAGAGUGAAAAAUAGGGCUACCUGACUUCUACACUACCGGAGAAGAACGACCUUCAAAAGUUCAGAGAAAACCCUAGCUUUGUUCAGUCUGAAACAGUCGGAAUCAAACACGAAAGGUGUCGGAAGUUCACCCUAAACACCACGCUUGAAGGAGCAACAACAAUCCACAAGAAACUGAAAUCAUCUCUGAUUCCACCAACAAAUCGAAAAAAUCCAGAAUCACCACCAACAAAUCGAAAAAUCCAAAAAUCACUACCGAUAAUUCAAUAAAGUUGAACCAGAAAAACCGAGAAGAGAAAGGAUACAUCCGAGAAGGAGAACCAUACUCUGAUACCAUGUAAACAUGGAGAAUAAGAUAUGGAGAAGAGAGAGAGAAGUCAUCUCUUUCUGAAUUGAUAAAAAUGAACAAAU
RNAcentral lists this long non-coding RNA (3008 nucleotides) under Nicotiana benthamiana. RNAcentral's name for it is "long non-coding RNA (NBEN_LNC033574)". The record is from RNAcentral. Lineage: Eukaryota; Viridiplantae; Streptophyta; Magnoliopsida; Solanales; Solanaceae.